ACAUAAUAGUGUUAAUGUUGUUUGAUUUCUGCCAUUACUAUAAAGUUGGAACUUUCUUUAUGUUAUUGACAAAGUUGGUUGAAUGUGUUGGUGAAAUUUCUUGGUUGGAUUUUAGGUUUAACUUUGUGUUGCAGUGAUUGUGUACAUAUGUGUGUUCAACCUCUUUAAUUUAAGGACAAAUAUUCUAUAUUGACGGUCAACUUUCACUGAUAAAUGAAGACCAACAUUUUUGCUCCAUGGCGUGCUCAGAUUGUCAAUUGCCAUUUUUAAGAACUACUACACCAAGGCCAAUCUAUUGCAUCCAGUGUGAAAGAUCCACCCAACUUAUUCCCAGGUAUUACUGAUAAACAUAGCAUCGACAAAUAUUCAACCUUUAAAGAAAUACUAAAAGACGUUUACACUUACAUUACUCAACUCAACCGCUGAAACUACUAUGAAACUACUUUAUUCGCGUAAAAAUAAAAAUAGGAGGAGGAUCUUAUACCAUAGAUUAUAUCAUACAAUAAAGACAUAUAAUUACCAUUUAUAUAUAUGAAAUUUUAAAGACUAUAAUACUCUACGAACAUUUCCCG
Long non-coding RNA from Lycium barbarum (goji berry), 572 nucleotides. RefSeq lists it as uncharacterized. The transcript has 3 exons. The record is from RefSeq and is a predicted model, not a curated record. NCBI's taxonomy places the organism in Eukaryota, Viridiplantae, Streptophyta, Magnoliopsida, Solanales, Solanaceae.